This 322-nucleotide ribosomal RNA is filed under the name uncultured eukaryote. RNAcentral describes it as "partial 18S ribosomal RNA". It matches the Rfam family "Eukaryotic small subunit ribosomal RNA", at positions 1470 to 1796 of the family's 1831-position model. The record is from RNAcentral.
CCCUUAGAUGUUCUGGGCAGCACGCGCGCUACAAUGGUCUUCGCAAACGGAUGCAUUCUCGAAGGAGAAUGCCAAUCUUGGAAUCUAUGCCUUGGUCGGGACAGUUGCUUGCAAUUUUUCGACUCGAACCAGGAAUUCCUUGUAAUCGUGAUUCAUCACAUCACGAUGAAUACGUCCCUGCCCUUUGUACACACCGCCCGUCGCUCCUACCGAUUGAACAAUCCGGUGAAUAAUUCGGACAGUCGUGCAUUAUAGUUCGCUAUUUUGCUUGUACUGGAAGUCUAGUGAACCUUAUUGUUUAGAGGAAGGAGAAGUCGUAACA